This 25-nucleotide non-coding RNA is filed under the name Gossypium hirsutum (cotton). The record is from RNAcentral. Lineage: Eukaryota; Viridiplantae; Streptophyta; Magnoliopsida; Malvales; Malvaceae.
UAUCCCAUCUAACCCUAAUGUGUCA